Molecule: RNA transcript, 1230 nt
Organism: Prunus dulcis (almond)
Lineage: Eukaryota; Viridiplantae; Streptophyta; Magnoliopsida; Rosales; Rosaceae
Gene name: urease accessory protein D
Exons: 9
Source: RefSeq, a predicted model, not a curated record
ACAGCUCUAGAGAGAGAGAGAGAGAGAGAGAGAGAUGGAAAAACAGGGAAGGGUGGUGGUUGAUAAAGUGGGAGGAAGGUCAACAGUGACAAGAUGCUUCUCAAAGUAUCCUCUCAAGUUUAUAAUUCCCAGAAAGGUGGGUUCCUCUGAAACUGAUGCUGUUUGGGUUUACACCCUCACCUAUGGUGGUGGCAUUGUCUCUGGAGAUUCUGUUUCAUGUGAAUUUACCAUUGGAGAUGGUUGCACCACUGUCUUAACAACCCAAGCUUCCACUAAGGUCUACAAGUCUGUGGGAUCAAAGUGCUGUGAGCAAGUCUUGGAGGCAAGAGUUGGGAACGAUGCCCUUUUGGCUGUCAUUCCAGAUCCGGUGACAUGUUUCUCCACGGCAAGGUACUCUCAGAAACAAGUCUUUAGGGUAGCCUCUAACUCAAGUUUGGUCAUUGUUGAUUGGAUUACCAGUGGGCGUCAUGAAAGUGGAGAAAAAUGGGAUUUUGAUCUUUAUAAGAGUGCCAACCACAUAUUUAUAGAAGAUGAUGAGCCCUUGUUUCUUGACAUGGUGCACCUGGAGCGUGGAAGUAUUUCUUCGAUUGCAGAACGCAUGCAGGACUACCAAGUCAUUGCAAUGGUUGUACUCUUGGGGCCAAGGAUCAAGCACAUUCAAAACCUAGUUCAAGAAAACGUGAAGAGGAUGAUGUCUGAGCAAUUACACAUUCCUUCCACUGCCUCUGGUCUCCAAUUAAAACCAAAUUCUGAUAAUCGCUUCACCAAACCAAGCUUUAUUGCUUCUUCAAGUGUUUUUGGUCCUAAGGGAAUAGGGGUGGUUGUUCGUAUAGCUGCCACAACAACUGAAUCAGUUUACGAGUUCCUGCAGCAUCAAUUGGCGGGCUUGGAGCCACUACUUGGGAUAUCACCAUAUCAUUGAACCUACAUGGAGAAUGUUUAUUCUAAUGAUAGAAACUGAUACUAUGGCCUAAGCUGUGGAUUUAUUGUUCCCACAUUACAGCCCUAUGUGACUCCUCAUUUUCUCUGGCAAUUUGUGGAACUUUUCUGCCCGGAGCCUGAAACCCCUUUUUGCUUUUUUUAGUUCUUUUUCCUUCUGUGGUUGCAAUGGAGCAUUGUGGUUUGUGUUUGUCUUGUGACUGGCAUGCUCUCUGAUAUGCUUGUAUUGGCUGGAAACUUAUUUUACUACUUUGAGUGGGACAACAAAAUAAAGAUUUAAUGUUUUGUAUA